GAGUCUGCAACCCGACUCCAUGAAGCUGGAUUCGCUAGUAAUCGCGCAUCAGCCACGGCGCGGUGAAUACGUUCCCGGGCCUUGUACACACCGCCCGUCAAGCCAUGAAAGCCGGGGGUACCUGAAGUGCGUAACCGCGAGGAGCGCCCUAGGGUAAAACUGGUGAUUGGAGCUAAGUCGUAACAAGGUAGC
Molecule: ribosomal RNA, 192 nt
Filed under: uncultured bacterium
Lineage: Bacteria
Description: partial 16S ribosomal RNA
Rfam family: Bacterial small subunit ribosomal RNA
Source: RNAcentral